Molecule: ribosomal RNA, 497 nt
Filed under: uncultured bacterium
Lineage: Bacteria
Description: partial 16S ribosomal RNA
Rfam family: Bacterial small subunit ribosomal RNA
Source: RNAcentral
GACGAACGCUGGCGGCGUGCCUAAUACAUGCAAGUUGAGCGCUGAAGGUUGGUACUUGUACCGACUGGAUGAGCAGCGAACGGGUGAGUAACGCGUGGGGAAUCUGCCUUUGAGCGGGGGACAACAUUUGGAAACGAAUGCUAAUACCGCAUAAAAACUUUAAACACAAGUUUUAAGUUUGAAAGAUGCAAUUGCAUCACUCAAAGAUGAUCCCGCGUUGUAUUAGCUAGUUGGUGAGGUAAAGGCUCACCAAGGCGAUGAUACAUAGCCGACCUGAGAGGGUGAUCGGCCACAGUGGGACUGAGAAACGGCCCAAACUCCUACGGGAGGCAGCAGUAGGGAAUCUUCGGCAAUGGACGAAAGUCUGACCGAGCAACGCCGCGUGAGUGAAGAAGGUUUUCGGAUCGUAAAACUCUGUUGGUAGAGAAGAACGUUGGUGAGAGUGGAAAGCUCAUCAAGUGGCGGUAACUACCCAGAAAGGGACGGCUAACUACGUG